RNAcentral lists this long non-coding RNA (1539 nucleotides) under Homo sapiens (human). RNAcentral describes it as "HSALNT0296943". Lineage: Eukaryota; Metazoa; Chordata; Mammalia; Primates; Hominidae. The record is from RNAcentral.
UGAGCCACAGUGCCCGGCCUAAUUACUUUAAAUUUAAAUAGCCACAUGUGACUAUUGGCUACCACAUUGAACAGCACAGUUCUAGAGAUUUUUGUGGCAGAAUCAAACAAACUUGUAACAAACUGGAUUUAUUCAUUAAUUUAAUCAAUAAAUAUUUAUUGAUUGUUUACUUUGUUCUGCAGUGAAAACGUGUGUGGCAAUAGGGUGUGACACGCCAGGGUGUUUAGACUUUGUGAGGUGCUUGGUAAAGGAGACCCAACACCAGUGUUUAAGCAUGAGCAGAGCAGAAAGAAAACUGAAGCCUGGAGAGGUAAAGAGACUUACCUAAGGCCAGUUGGCAAAAGACUCUUAACCUCCUGACCUCCAACUCCACUCCCUACUGGAAGAAUUUAUUUGAAUCUCUCUUUUCCUUGGCUAAGAAGAAUGAAGAGGCAGGAGACUUGGGGGACCCCUUAACUGGGGAUAAUUACUGGGACAAAUCAGCCAGCACAAAGAGGAGGCACUAAACAAUCAGUCCUGGUCUCUGUUAUCAGAGACUUUUGAUGCUACCAUUGGAGUCAGACAAGCAGACAAACAUCAACAAAAUGAUUAUAAACUAUGACACACUAUGAUGGGAAAGAAGGAGGCUGACAGAGAGGACAUUGGCAGGAAGGAGCCCUACUGUAGAUGUGGUGGUCAGAGAAGGGCCUUUGUGAGAAGCUGACACAUAAUCUCACAGUUGAAGUUGUGAGAAGGAGCUGGUCCUCCAGAGAGAAGUAGGAAGAGCGCUCCAGCAGAAUCUCUGGACAAGUGCAGCUACGACUGCUGCUGGGACCGCGAUACUGUGAUGAGACUUUGCAUAUUUAAAAGGAUGUCGAGAGAGGAGGAGGAAUGAUAAAUGAACUCAGGAAGAUGUGAUGUCUUCUGUGAUGACACUAAUAGAUGGAAUGCAGAAUUCAGCUCCAAUACUUAGGGUUGGAAACCAAACAUAAACAAGCAAGCAAGGAAAAUGAAAAGGAAUGUGUGUGUGUGUGUGUGUGUGUGUGUGUGUGUGUGUGUGUAGGUGUGAGAGUAUAUGAAAUACAUGAAAAGAUAAAAAGUUAGAUGCUGCUAAAGGGACAGACAUGUAGGAAUUUUACAUUAGGGUUGUUCUGAUUUUCAUUUUCUUGCCUUUUAAAAUUUAAUGAUAAACAAGUCUCCAGAGAUUUUUACAGCCUGGGAGACCACUGGUAAGACAACAAUAUAGGUGGUCCUCCAGCAGGAUCUAAAUCAGAGCCUUCAUAGUGGACUGUCGGGCCAGGUGCAGCUGUAGACAAUGCAUCUUCAGGAGUGGGGUGAAGAAAUUUAAUGGACUAGUAAUGCAACAGGAGGUAGAAGAAAAGUGUUCUCUCACUAAAGCAUGGUGGGUGUUUUCAAAAUGUUUAAAAAACAUUUUUAGGCCGGGCACAGUGGCUCACACCUGUAAUCUCAGAGCUUGGGGUGGCUGAGGACCCAAAAGGAGGAUCCCUUGAUGCCAGGAGUUGUAGACCAGCCUGGUCUAACAUAGCAAUACCCUGUCUC